This 252-nucleotide ribosomal RNA is filed under the name uncultured bacterium. Its description in RNAcentral is "partial 16S ribosomal RNA". It matches the Rfam family "Bacterial small subunit ribosomal RNA", at positions 524 to 776 of the family's 1533-position model. The record is from RNAcentral.
GACGUAGGGCGCGAGCGUGUCCGGAUUUAUUGGGCGUAAAGAGCUCGUAGGCGGCUUGUCGCGUCUGCCGUGAAAGCCCAGGGCUUAACCCUGGGUCUGCGGUGGGUACGGGCAGACUAGAGUGUGGUAGGGGAGACUGGAAUUCCUGGUGUAGCGGUGAAAUGCGCAGAUAUCAGGAGGAACACCGAUGGCGAAGGCAGGUCUCUGGGCCACUACUGACGCUGAGAAGCGAAAGCAUGGGGAGCAAACAGG